AGGAUUAGCUCAGUCGGUAGAACGCUUUACUGCUGAGCGGAAGGUUGCAGGUUCAAUUCCC
RNAcentral lists this transfer RNA (61 nucleotides) under uncultured Symbiodinium. Lineage: Eukaryota; Dinophyceae; Suessiales; Symbiodiniaceae. The record is from RNAcentral.